UGAGGCUGUGGGGUGUCAGGCUGAGGCUGUGGGGUGUCAGGCUGAGGCUGUGGGGUGUCAGGCUGAGGCUGUGGUGUGUCUGGCUGAGGCUGUGGGGUGUCAGGCUGAGGCUGUGGGGUGUCAGGCUGAGGAUGUGGGGUGUCAGGCUGAGGCUGUGGGGUGUCAGGCUGAGGCUGUGGUGUGUCUGGCUGAGGCUGUGGGGUGUCAGGCUGAGGCUGUGGGGUGUCAGGCUGAGGCUGUGGGGUGUCAGGCUGAGGCUGUGGUGUGUCUGGCUGAGGCUGUGGGGUGUCAGGCUGAGGCUGUGGGGUGUCAGGCUGAGGAUGUGGGGUGUCAGGCUGAGGCUGUGGGGUGUCAGGCUGAGGCUGUGGUGUGUCUGGCUGAGGCUGUGGGGUGUCAGGCUGAGGCUGUGGUGUGUCUGGCUGAGGCUGUGGGGUGUCAGGCUGAGGCUGUGGGGUGUCAGGCUGAGGAUGUGGGGUGUCAGGCUGAGGCUGUGGUGUGUCAGGCUGAGGUUGUGGUGUGUCUGGCCUGGAGUCAGGCUGAGGCUGUGGUGUGUCAGGCUGUGGACCUGACGUGGACUUGAGUUAAAAUGAAGAGUAGCAAUGUAUAAUUCCAAAUGAUAUCAAGCUGAAUAAUUAAAAAAUGUAUUUAAGACUCAGUUAUGGCUACACUCUACAUGAAAGUCACAGGUAACGAUUUCAGUGCUGGAGUAGUAGUACCGGACCAACUGAAGCACUAUUAUUAGGUCAGUCCAAUUCUCCCAAACUCAGACAGAAGGUUGUCACCAUCUGCCACUAAACCAAAGCCAUGCGCCACAUCUUGUCCGUGCAUCCCCCCUUUGACAGCUUCCUGGUCCCUGCCCCCUACUUAGCACAGCCACUGUCAGGAUCUGUGCCAUGUCUGUCUGUUUUGGUGCUAUUUCUGUUCUUAGCCUCUAGAUGGCGUUUUGAACCGGAGGAGAGGUGACAGGUGUUCUCUAUCUCCUUGAUGAUCUACUGAGGAGUAUUUAAGGAGGAGGCUGCCAGCAACUCACUGCCAGAGUGUUGCCCUUUGUGGUACAGCUCCAGCCGCAUUACAUUGCCUUUGCCUUGACCUUGCUUUGCUCUUUGUAAUUUUGGAUUUAUUGCCUUGCAGGUCACCUGAACCUGACUUUGCCUUCAGCAUUGAACCCUGCCUGGAUUACCGUCUUCUGGAAAGAAGCAUCCAGCUCCAUGAACCAAGACUCAAGCCUCCUGUUUUCUCAUUAGAUCAAACCAGCUGGCAGUCUCCUGAUUCCUUCGUUCUGUGGAUCUACCUCUGUGAACCCUGUCCACCCUCCUCCUUCCAUUGCACCAACUACAGAAACUCUUGGACCAUCAAUCAUACUGGCACACCAGUGUUCACUGUCUCCGGUCCCACGGGUAAAAAACCUCCUGGUCUCUCCACCCCCCUCUGGCAGAUCUCUCCCUCAAACCAUGUGUGUCCCGGUUCCAGUCUCCUGCACUUUUCAACAUGCAUUUAAUAAACUUCUUAUCAUUAAAA
Girardinichthys multiradiatus is the source of this 1518-nucleotide long non-coding RNA. RefSeq lists it as uncharacterized. The record is from RefSeq and is a predicted model, not a curated record. NCBI's taxonomy places the organism in Eukaryota, Metazoa, Chordata, Actinopteri, Cyprinodontiformes, Goodeidae. The transcript is spliced from 2 exons.